GCGCUGGCGCACACACUGGCGCACGAACCCGAAAAGCCCUGCAAAUCACCGGUUCUGUAACGGGCUCGAAACCGUUACCGGCGGUUUUCGUCGGUCGAGGGUUCAAAUCCCUCCCCUCCGCU
RNAcentral lists this transfer RNA (122 nucleotides) under Actinomycetota bacterium. RNAcentral describes it as "tRNA-OTHER". Lineage: Bacteria; Bacillati; Actinomycetota. The record is from RNAcentral.